GAUCCUGGCUCAGGAUGAACGCUGGCGGCGUGCCUAACACAUGCAAGUCGAACGGAGUUAUUUUGGAAAUCUCUUCGGAGAUGGAAUCUUUAACUUAGUGGCGGACGGGUGAGUAACGCGUGAGCAAUCUGCCUUUAAGAGGGGGAUAACAGUCGGAAAUGGCUGCUAAUACCGCAUAAAGCAUCGAAACCGCAUGAUUUUGAUGCCAAAGGAGCAAUCCGCUUUUAG
RNAcentral lists this ribosomal RNA (228 nucleotides) under uncultured bacterium. Its description in RNAcentral is "partial 16S ribosomal RNA". It matches the Rfam family "Bacterial small subunit ribosomal RNA", at positions 15 to 224 of the family's 1533-position model. The record is from RNAcentral.